This is a long non-coding RNA of Carassius carassius (crucian carp), 626 nucleotides long. RefSeq lists it as uncharacterized. The record is from RefSeq and is a predicted model, not a curated record. NCBI's taxonomy places the organism in Eukaryota, Metazoa, Chordata, Actinopteri, Cypriniformes, Cyprinidae. The transcript has 2 exons.
UUAACAUGUACAAGUCUGUUAUAUUGACAAAACGUUAUAGUCCAUUGAUCUAGGCUGAAUUUAAGUCACAAAAAAUAGUGAUAUGAUCUGAACGAUAUAUAUUUUCAAGGUGGUUCUUGUGAAUGCAGUUUGCAUGAAUUAUUGAUGUUAUAAUAUUAAGUAUAUUAUUGAGAAUUGUUUUAUGUAAAGAGAUAUGAUAAAGAUCAUAUUUCAAUUUGCACACAGCUUUUAUAUUAUAUAUUUUAAGUCAUAAAAGUAAAAUGACAAUACGGAAAAGACGUGUGCAAUUAAGCCUGCAAAGAAUGCUGUCUAUCCACUGAUGAAAACAGAAAAUAAAUAUGCUGUCUAUCCAUACGUGAAAAUAUAAAAUAAAUAAAUGUCAAUCCAGAGGUGAAAAUAUAAAAUAAAUAUACUUUCCAUCCAGAGGUGAAAAUAUAAAAUAAAUAUUCUGUCCAUCGAGAGGUGAGAACUAAAUAUGCUGUCUAUCCAGAGGUGAAAAUAUAAAAUAAAUAUAUGUCUAUCCAGAGGUGAAAAUAUAAAAUAAAUAUACUGUCCAUCCAGAGGUGAGAACUAAAUAUGCUGUCUAUCCAGAGGUGAAAAUAUAAAAUAAAUAUUCUGUCCAUCCA